CCUACGGGUGGCUGCAGUGGGGAAUAUUGGGCAAUGGGCGCAAGCCUGACCCAGCAACGCCGCGUGAGGGAAGAAGGUUUUCGGAUUGUAAACCUCUGUCGCAAGGGACGAAGAAGUGACGGUACCUUGUGAGGAAGCCCCGGCUAACUACGUGCCAGCAGCCGCGGUAAUACGUAGGGGGCGAGCGUUGUCCGGAAUUACUGGGCGUAAAGGGUGCGUAGGCGGCUUUUUAAGUUGGAUGUGAAAUACCCGGGCUUAACUUGGGGGGUGCAUUCAAAACUGGAGAGCUAGAGUUCAGGAGAGGGAAGCGGAAUUCCUAGUGUAGCGGUGAAAUGCGUAGAUAUUAGGAGGAACACCAGUGGCGAAGGCGGCUUUCUGGACUGACACUGACGCUGAUGCACGAAAGCGUGGGGAGCAAACAGGAUUAGAUACCCCGGUAGUC
RNAcentral lists this ribosomal RNA (442 nucleotides) under uncultured Bacillota bacterium. Its description in RNAcentral is "bacterial SSU rRNA". It matches the Rfam family "Bacterial small subunit ribosomal RNA", at positions 338 to 795 of the family's 1533-position model. Lineage: Bacteria; Bacillati; Bacillota. The record is from RNAcentral.